AGAGUUUGAUCCUGGCUCAGGACGAACGCUGGCGGCGCGCCUAACACAUGCAAGUCGAACGGGGUGAAUUUUCUCACUGAGUUUUUUGCGAGUCGGCCGGAAGCGCCAUUGAUGCGAAGCAUCAAUUAGGCUUAUUCCAGUAAGACUGACACAAAGGGCAAAAGACUGAGUGAGGAAAUUCAUUCAGUGGCGAACGGGUGAGUAACGCGUGAGGAACCUGCCUCAAAGAGGGGGACAACAGUUGGAAACGACUGCUAAUACCGCAUAAGCCCACGGCUCGGCAUCGAGCAGAGGGAAAAGGAGCAAUCCGCUUUGAGAUGGCCUCGCGUCCGAUUAGCUGGUUGGUGAGGUAACGGCCCACCAAGGCGACGAUCGGUAGCCGGACUGAGAGGUUGAACGGCCACAUUGGGACUGAGACACGGCCCAGACUCCUACGGGAGGCAGCAGUGGGGAAUAUUGCACAAUGGGGGAAACCCUGAUGCAGCGACGCCGCGUGGAGGAAGAAGGUCUUCGGAUUGUAAACUCCUGUUGUUGAGGAAGAUAAUGACGGUACUCAACAAGGAAGUGACGGCUAACUACGUGCCAGCAGCCGCGGUAAAACGUAGGUCACAAGCGUUGUCCGGAAUUACUGGGUGUAAAGGGAGCGCAGGCGGGAGAACAAGUUGGAAGUGAAAUCCAUGGGCUCACCCAUGAACUACUUUCAAAACUGUUUUUCUUGAGUAGUGCAGAGUAGGCGGAAUUCCCGGUGUAGCGGUGGAAUGCGUAGAUAUCGGGAGGAACACCAGUGGCGAAGGCGGCCUACUGGGCACCAACUGACGCUGAGGCUCGAAAGUGUGGGUAGCAAACAGGAUUAGAUACNCUGGUAGUCCACACCGUAAACGAUGAUUACUAGGUGUUGGAGGAUUGACCCCUUCAGUGCCGCAGUUAACACAAUAAGUAAUCCACCUGGGGAGUACGACCGCAAGGUUGAAACUCAAAGGAAUUGACGGGGGCCCGCACAAGCAGUGGAGUAUGUGGUUUAAUUCGACGCAACGCGAAGAACCUUACCAAGUCUUGACAUCCCUUGACGAACAUAGAAAUAUGUUUUCUCUUCGGAGCAAGGAGACAGGUGGUGCAUGGUUGUCGUCAGCUCGUGUCGUGAGAUGUUGGGUUAAGUCCCGCAACGAGCGCAACCCUUAUGGUCAGUUACUACGCAAGAGGACCCUGGCCAGACUGCCGUUGACAAAACGGAGGAAGGUGGGGAUGACGUCAAAUCAUCAUGCCCUUUAUGACUUGGGCUACACACGUACUACAAUGGCGUUAAACAAAGAAAAGCAAGACCGCGAGGUGGAGCAAAACUCAAAAACAACGUCCCAGUUCGGACUGCAGGCUGCAACUCGCCUGCACGAAGUCGGAAUUGCUAGUAAUCGUGGAUCAGCAUGCCACGGUGAAUACGUUCCCGGGCCUUGUACACACCGCCCGUC
Molecule: ribosomal RNA, 1463 nt
Filed under: uncultured bacterium
Lineage: Bacteria
Description: bacterial SSU rRNA
Rfam family: Bacterial small subunit ribosomal RNA
Source: RNAcentral